CUCAGAUGAGUCCUCCUCAAGCCUCGGAUGAAUCCCUCAGAAACACAGCCUUGACGCUCGCUUCCCCUCUGCGCUACAUAAAGCCACCAAGAAAUGUCCUCCCACUAAUCCUCCACAAGAAGACCGCACACAAAUCAGGAAAAGUCCGCAGGAACGAAAAAAAAAACAAACGCAAAACACAUCAAACGGAUAAGUUA
This is a long non-coding RNA of Myripristis murdjan (pinecone soldierfish), 197 nucleotides long. RefSeq lists it as uncharacterized. The record is from RefSeq and is a predicted model, not a curated record. Lineage: Eukaryota; Metazoa; Chordata; Actinopteri; Holocentriformes; Holocentridae. The transcript has 3 exons.